GCACUUACGUCUGCACUAACUACUUAAAAAUGCUCAAUCUCUGUUAAUUCACAUCAAUGUGUUUUUAACUGAAGUAAUUUUUUAUUAAUUUGAUGAAUUUGGGUUUAAAUUUACACUGCAGGAUAAUGGAGUUUAUGCAAAGUUAACAUAUUCUCUUUAGCAUGUUUCAGAGUAAAACGAUGACCAUAAGACAUGAUAUUCAUUGAUUGGCCAUGAAAUUUGACAUGACUGGAAAAUUAAAAAAUCUAGCUGGUCCAUAGAUUUGAGAAAAUGAUAUAAAUAGUUACUUUCCUGCAACAUAUAUAGAUGAUCUCUUUGUGUUCAUCUUCAUGCCCUGGGCAUUGAGAUAUGGAAGCUUGACCAGUAUUGUUGAGUCCAUAGUAUGGCCACACGACAGAUUGAUGGCGAUGGAGGGACCCGUUUCAUUUUGCCAUGGACGCCUGCAAUUGCCUUCCAAACUCUAUCCUGCUGGCUUUUGGAAGAGUAGAGAUCUUGGAGUUGUUUUGCAGAAGUAUGAAUCCUCACUAUGCAGCAAAGUGUCGUGUUGCAGCCGCAGCCUACUCGAUCCACUCUCUCGGGAAAACAAAAAUUUAUCACAUUUAAAGAAUUAACCGGAAUUCGAGUAGAAGCCUGGCAAUAACGGCAAGCAGGAGAUGGUCACACUCUAGACCAAGCCAGUGUUGAAGAUGCAAUCCUUCCUCUUCCAAAUCUCCAAACACAUGAAAAUAAAAGGAAACAUGGUACAGCACACUCAAUGGUGUCAUUGACCUUGCGAUUCAUAGGGACCUCACCACUAUAAGGCUAUUAAUAAAAGAGAUGGUGCUCCGCAUGAAUUUUUGAAGCUCCAUGGUCAUCAUGGCUUAUUUCAGAUUGAAUGAGGAUGGCGACAACUUGUCUGGUGUAAGGCCUGCUGGACAAACUUCUUUUCAUGCUAGAAGAGCGGUUGCUAAGGGACUACCAUUCCUAGAACUGCAAUUAUCACGUU
Long non-coding RNA from Sorghum bicolor (sorghum), 985 nucleotides. RefSeq lists it as uncharacterized. Lineage: Eukaryota; Viridiplantae; Streptophyta; Magnoliopsida; Poales; Poaceae. The transcript is spliced from 5 exons. The record is from RefSeq and is a predicted model, not a curated record.